AGGUGCUGACCCCUAUAGGAAAGCCAUUUAUGAGGCAUGGUAUUCAAUAUCUAACGUAGCAUUGUCCUUAAUAAGUACAAUCACUCUGUACCCCUUCAAAUUGUCUUGCUCUCCUCUGCCUCUGCAUUUUGUAACUUGUAAGAGGGAUGAUCAUCUCUUUGCGGCUUCACGAAUUAGCUGACUAUAAGAAUUGCCACUGCAUGUUCUUAAGAAAUUCAAUCAGUGGUCUCUGGAUCUACACCCAUGCAUAGUGGCACUUAUUAAGGGAUCUUGAUGUGGAAUUGUAAGAAGGAUCUCCAUAUGUCACUGCAUGUUAACUGUUUCCCUAUCUUGGAUGACUAUGGUCAAUAUAUGGAGGAUCAGGACAUGUCAUGUUUAGCCUAUUUCCACUAAAUGCAUAGGAGUUCUACCGCUCAUUCAUUUUCCCAUUUUUUAGGCCACAGAUUUCCGUACAGGGAAAGUGCACUUUGGGAGUGACUCUUUUGCAUAUUAAGAUUCUCUAAAAGCCUAUGAAUUUGUGGCUUUGCACAUUAAAAA
Long non-coding RNA from Rhodamnia argentea, 537 nucleotides. RefSeq lists it as uncharacterized. The record is from RefSeq and is a predicted model, not a curated record. The transcript is spliced from 2 exons. Lineage: Eukaryota; Viridiplantae; Streptophyta; Magnoliopsida; Myrtales; Myrtaceae.